RNAcentral lists this ribosomal RNA (253 nucleotides) under uncultured bacterium. Its description in RNAcentral is "partial 16S ribosomal RNA". It matches the Rfam family "Bacterial small subunit ribosomal RNA", at positions 524 to 776 of the family's 1533-position model. The record is from RNAcentral.
UACGUAGGGUGCAAGCGUUUUUCGGAAUCAUUGGGCGUAAAGCGCGUGUAGGCGGUUCGCUAAGUCUGGUGUGAAAGCCCGAGGCUUAACUUCGGAAGUGCACUGGAUACUGGCGAACUAGAGGACAAGAGAGGAGAGUGGAAUUCCCGGUGUAGGGGUGAAAUCCGUAGAUAUCGGGAGGAACAUCAGUUGCGAAGGCGGCUCUCUGGCUUGUAUCUGACGCUCUGGCGCGAAAGCGUGGGGAGCAAACAGG